This 433-nucleotide ribosomal RNA is filed under the name uncultured bacterium. Its description in RNAcentral is "partial 16S ribosomal RNA". It matches the Rfam family "Bacterial small subunit ribosomal RNA", at positions 29 to 507 of the family's 1533-position model. The record is from RNAcentral.
AACGAACGCUGGCGGCAUGCCUAACACAUGCAAGUCGAACGAGACCUUCGGGUCUAGUGGCGCACGGGUGCGUAACGCGUGGGAACCUGCCCUUAGGUUCGGAAUAACUCCCCGAAAGGGGUGCUAAUACCGGAUAAUGUCUUCGGACCAAAGAUUUAUCGCCUUUGGAUGGGCCCGCGUUGGAUUAGCUAGUUGGUAGGGUAAAAGCCUACCAAGGCGACGAUCCAUAGCUGGUCUGAGAGGAUGAUCAGCCACACUGGGACUGAGACACGGCCCAGACUCCUACGGGAGGCAGCAGUGGGGAAUAUUGGACAAUGGGCGAAAGCCUGAUCGAGCAAUGCCGCGUGAGUGAUGAAGGCCUUAGGGUUGUAAAGCUCUUUUACCCGGGAUGAUAAUGACAGUACCGGGAGAAUAAGCGCCGGCUAACUCCGUG